AAAACUUUACAAUCGGGAAACCGUGAUAAGGGAAUCUCGAGUGCCAGCAUAUAAUGUUGGCUGUCCAGAUGCCUAAAAAGCAUCUGUUAGCAAGGGCCGGGCAAGACCGGUGCCAGCCGCCGCGGUAACACCGGCGGCCCGAGUGGUAACCGUUAUUAUUGGGUCUAAAGGGUCUGUAGCCGGCCAAGUAAGUCCCUUGGGAAAUCUGGCAGCUCAACUGUCAGGCUGCUAGGGGAUACUGUUUGGCUUGGGACCGGGAGAGGUGAGAGGUACCUUGGGGGUAGGGGUGAAAUCUUGUGAUCCUCGGGGGACCACCAGUGGCGAAGGCGUCUCACCAGAACGGGUCCGACGGUAAGGGACGAAAGCUAGGGGCACGAACCGGAUUAGAUACCCGGGUAGUCCUAGCCGUAAACGAUGCUCGCUAGGUGUCAGUCACGGUGCGACCGUGAYUGGUGCCGUAGGGAAGCCGUGAAGCGA
RNAcentral lists this ribosomal RNA (477 nucleotides) under uncultured crenarchaeote. Its description in RNAcentral is "bacterial SSU rRNA". It matches the Rfam family "Archaeal small subunit ribosomal RNA", at positions 343 to 822 of the family's 1478-position model. Lineage: Archaea; Thermoproteati; Thermoproteota. The record is from RNAcentral.